RNAcentral lists this unclassified non-coding RNA (249 nucleotides) under uncultured Eurotiales. RNAcentral describes it as "sequence contains 5.8S rRNA gene, ITS2, 28S rRNA gene". Lineage: Eukaryota; Fungi; Ascomycota; Eurotiomycetes; Eurotiales. The record is from RNAcentral.
AACGCACAUUGCGCCCCCUGGCAUUCCGGGGGGCAUGCCUGUCCGAGCGUCAUUUCUGCCCUCAAGCACGGCUUGUGUGUUGGGUGCGGUCCCCCCGGGGACCUGCCCGAAAGGCAGCGGCGACGUCCGUCUGGUCCUCGAGCGUAUGGGGCUCUGUCACUCGCUCGGGACGGACCUGCGGGGGUUGGUCACCACCAUAUUUUACCACGGUUGACCUCGGAUCAGGUAGGAGUUACCCGCUGAACUUAA